RNAcentral lists this transfer RNA (120 nucleotides) under Sporisorium scitamineum. Its description in RNAcentral is "transfer RNA-Ser(AGA)". It matches the Rfam family "tRNA". From Rfam's summary of the family: Transfer RNA (tRNA) molecules are approximately 80 nucleotides in length. The record is from RNAcentral. Lineage: Eukaryota; Fungi; Basidiomycota; Ustilaginomycetes; Ustilaginales; Ustilaginaceae.
GGCGCUUUGGCGGAGUGGUUAUCGCGUGGCACUAGAAUCGCUUAGCAUUCUAAAGCAAGUCCUGCUCAACAAAAUAUGCCAUUCCCUCUGGGAGCAUAGGUUCAAAUCCUGUAGGCGUCG